RNAcentral lists this long non-coding RNA (217 nucleotides) under Elaeis guineensis (African oil palm). Its description in RNAcentral is "long non-coding RNA (EGUI_LNC068549)". The record is from RNAcentral. Lineage: Eukaryota; Viridiplantae; Streptophyta; Magnoliopsida; Arecales; Arecaceae.
AUACAGAAUUUGAUGAGCUCCUUAAUCUACCAAUUUAAAAUCAAAAAUUUUGCUCCAUAUCUUCUUGUACAACAAUUACAUAUCUACAUGAUCAGUAUUAAAUAUAAAAAUCAUAUAUAGAGAAAUUAUGGAUAAAUGAUCCUAAUCACAUUAAUCCAGGACCUCUCCUAGGAUUAACCAAAAUUGAGAUUUGUCUAAGUAUUUGGACCCUUCACUG